UACAGAUACAAUUGCAAGGAGAGCCUGUCGGCUCAAGUGUCGUCCCUUUGAUUUACAGUUGCAAUAGCAGGAGCUGCAUGAAUUUCAAAUGAUGUGAUCAUAUCCUACCAAUUCCUUGGGCUCCAGCGAGAGUGAACCCUGGGUAGAUCAUUUGCGGUGUCUUACAAUGAUGAACACACCAGGUUGUAAGAGAUGUGGAGUGUCACGCUAAGGGCUUCUGACCUGUCAUCCUGCCCUCAAUCAACCAUAAUCACCUCUACCAUGGAAUUGUGCUAAAUGCUGGGGGCAAAAAUACAAGCAAAAAAAGAAAGAAAAGACCAACCUUCCAGGAGCUUAC
RNAcentral lists this long non-coding RNA (337 nucleotides) under Monodelphis domestica (gray short-tailed opossum). Its description in RNAcentral is "lncRNA (ENSMODG00000034501.2)". The record is from RNAcentral. Lineage: Eukaryota; Metazoa; Chordata; Mammalia; Didelphimorphia; Didelphidae.